GUUGAGAGUCAACCACAUUGCUUGGGUCUGGAGUCACAUGUAGGCCAGACCAGCAGUCCUGGGGCAGCGUGCAGGGAAGUAGUCCCUGAGCAGCAUGAGGGGAAACCCGAGUCCCGGGGCAGUGCAAGGGGAACGAGUCUUGGAGCAGCGCAACUUACCUUGGUGCAGCAUAGUAUCGGUGCGCAGCGGGCUGGAGGCUUGGAGCGGAGUGGAACAGAUUUUGGACUGGGACCUAGCGCGGGAGGUCGGACCACAUGCUGAGCCAUUGUUAUUUGAAAUUCUCUACCGGACUGUAAUGUCAAUCCUUUAGCUAUGUUAUAUCCAUCUUAUUUCUAACUUAUUUUUUCAAUACUGUAAGUAAUGUUACUACGUUUCCUUUUAUUCCUCCUUUGCAUCCAAGAUUUGUGCCUAAGAUAGCACCAUUAAAGGCAGCCAUUGUAAAAACUUUUCACUGUGCUCCUGUACUGGAGUACACGUGACAAUAAAGGAUAUUCUGUUCUAUUCUA
This is a long non-coding RNA of Rhincodon typus (whale shark), 506 nucleotides long. RefSeq lists it as uncharacterized. The record is from RefSeq and is a predicted model, not a curated record. NCBI's taxonomy places the organism in Eukaryota, Metazoa, Chordata, Chondrichthyes, Orectolobiformes, Rhincodontidae. The transcript has 2 exons.